GUGGGGAAUAUUGGACAAUGGGCGCAAGCCUGAUCCAGCCAUGCCGCGUGGGUGAUGAAGGCCUUAGGGCUGUAAAGCUCUUUCAGUGGGGACGAUAAUGACGGUACCCACAGAAGAAGCCCCGGCUAACUUCGUGCCAGCAGCCGCGGUAAUACGAAGGGGGCUAGCGUUGUUCGGAUUUACUGGGCGUAAAGCGCACGUAGGCGGAUCGUUAAGUCGGGGGUGAAAUCCUGGAGCUCAACUCCAGAACUGCCUUCGAUACUGGCGAUCUUGAGUCCGGAAGAGGUGAGUGGAACUCCUAGUGUAGAGGUGGAAUUCGUAGAUAUUAGGAAGAACACCAGUGGCGAAGGCGGCUCACUGGUCCGGUACUGACGCUGAGGUGCGAAAGCGUGGGGAGCAAACAGGAUUAGAUACCCCUGUAGUCC
Molecule: ribosomal RNA, 425 nt
Filed under: uncultured bacterium
Lineage: Bacteria
Description: partial 16S ribosomal RNA
Rfam family: Bacterial small subunit ribosomal RNA
Source: RNAcentral